AACGGAAGCGAACAAUUCCACAUUCUUCUCAGUAUCUUCCUCUGACCUGGUCUCAAAGUGGUUAGGAGAGAGUGAGAAGUAAGUUGGAGUUGCCAGAGUUCCAGGAAAAU
Gallus gallus (chicken) is the source of this 110-nucleotide microRNA precursor. NCBI's taxonomy places the organism in Eukaryota, Metazoa, Chordata, Aves, Galliformes, Phasianidae. The record is from Ensembl.